AGUGAACGCUGGCGGCGUGCUUAACACAUGCAAGUCGAACGAGAACGGAAUAUAGCUUGCUAUAUUUGUCAGCUAAGUGGCGCACGGGUGAGUAAUGUAUAGUUAACCUGCCCUUAAGAAAGGAAUAUCAGUUGGAAACGACUGCUAAUGCCCUAUAUGCCUUUAAUACACAAGUAUGCUAGGGAAACGCUUUAGUCCUUAAGGAUGGGUCGGUAUUGUAUCAGCUUGUUGGUGAGGUAAUGGCUCAACAAGGCUAUGACGUCAUAACUGGUUUGAGAGGAUGAUCAGUCACACUGGAACUGAGACACGGUCCAGACUCCUACGGGAGGCAGCAGUGGGGAAUAUUGCACAAUGGACGAAAGUCUGAUGCAGCAACGCAGCGUGGAGGAUGACACAUUUCGGUGCGUAAACUCCUUUUAUAUAGGAAGAUAAUGACGGUACUAUAUGAAUAAGCACCGGCUAACUCCGUGCCAGCAGCCGCGGUAA
This 486-nucleotide ribosomal RNA is filed under the name uncultured bacterium. RNAcentral describes it as "partial 16S ribosomal RNA". It matches the Rfam family "Bacterial small subunit ribosomal RNA", at positions 29 to 523 of the family's 1533-position model. The record is from RNAcentral.